CACUGCCGCAGGGCAGGGCAGAGCCUGGCAGCCAGGAAGGCGGUGCCUUAGGAGAAAGCAUGCUUGGCAAGGACCGCCAAACAGGGCAACCUGCUGCUCAGCAGUGGGGAGUGAGGAGGAGAAAGUGUGAGAAACAGCUGUGCAAAGGCCAAGCGCAACCCUUGGAAGAGAGCACGCCGGCGCGGGUCGAUGUGUCCUGAGGGAAGCUGCAGGCCCCAGAGAGCACGCACAAGAGCCUGCAGGGCACCGUGCAUGGGUAAAGCAAGGCGUCCUUCACUGCCUGCA
Molecule: non-coding RNA, 285 nt
Organism: Anas platyrhynchos (mallard)
Lineage: Eukaryota; Metazoa; Chordata; Aves; Anseriformes; Anatidae
Source: RefSeq, a predicted model, not a curated record